Molecule: ribosomal RNA, 800 nt
Filed under: uncultured bacterium
Lineage: Bacteria
Description: bacterial SSU rRNA
Rfam family: Bacterial small subunit ribosomal RNA
Source: RNAcentral
GAAUUCGCCCUUAGAGUUGAUCCUGGCUCAGGACGAACGCUGGCGGCGCGCCUAACACAUGCAAGUCGAACGAGCGAGAGAGAGCUUGCUUUCUCAAGCGAGUGGCGAACGGGUGAGUAACGCGUGAGGAACCUGCCUCAAGGAGGGGGACAACAGUUGGAAACGACUGCUAAUACCGCAUAAGCCCACAGGUCGGCAUCGACCAGAGGGAAAAGGAGCAAUCCGCUUUGAGAUGGCCUCGCGUCCGAUUAGCUAGUUGGUGAGGUAAAGGCCCACCAAGGCGACGAUCGGUAGCCGGACUGAGAGGUUGAACGGCCACAUUGGGACUGAGACACGGCCCAGACUCCUACGGGAGGCAGCAGUGGGGAAUAUUGCACAAUGGGGGAAACCCUGAUGCAGCGACGCCGCGUGGAGGAAGAAGGUCUUCGGAUUGUAAACUCCUGUUGUUGAGGAAGAUAAUGACGGUACUCAACAAGGAAGUGACGGCUAACUACGUGCCAGCAGCCGCGGUAAAACGUAGGUCACAAGCGUUGUCCGGAAUUACUGGGUGUAAAGGGAGCGCAGGCGGGAAGACAAGUUGGAAGUGAAAUCUAUGGGCUCAACCCAUAAACUGCUUUCAAAACUGUUUUUCUUGAGUAGUGCAGAGGUAGGCGGAAUUCCCGGUGUAGCGGUGGAAUGCGUAGAUAUCGGGAGGAACACCAGUGGCGAAGGCGGCCUACUGGGCACCAACUGACGCUGAGGCUCGAAAGUGUGGGUAGCAAACAGGAUUAGAUACCCUGGUAGUCCACACCGUAAACGAU